UUUGUAGCAAAUUGCAGACAAUGUCCUUUGUCUUCAAAAUUGACUGGUUUUGUACUUAAUGUUUCAAAAUCUUACACGUUUUGUCCUUUAAGCCAAACCCAGUUAGAAAUUUCAGUUAUUUUGGAUCCUACAAUUUUAAUCAUUAUUGAAAAAAACACUAAACUUUCGUUGUUUCAGUUUCAGGUAUUUGUGGCCAGUGCGAACUGUUUCUUAUCUUGAAAUAUAUAUGUUGUGACCCGUAUCAGUUUUUUUAUAGUUGUUUCGACAUGCAUGAAGAUGUGGGUUUUACUUUAAAAAAUCCUUCAUUUUUGGGUAAUGACAUACAACGGGUGUGAAAGGAAGUAAAAGAGGAAGCUUUCAAAAGCAUGGACCCUACACUUCUAUGACCCUAACGCGUCUUUCUUUUGCAAGGUAAACAAGUCACUGUACAGUCAUUUUUUGAACAAAGAGAGGCGUGAAUCUAAAUAGUAGCAUUGCCACAAGAUAAACAGAGGUUACUCGAACACCAUCUUCCACAACUAUGGGUUAUACCCGACAGUCGCAUGAGGAAUGCUAGAAGUUGCUGGAGUCAAAGAGUGAAAGAAUGAAGAGUUAGUGAAGUAUUGGAAAAGAAAGCAAAGCACAGCGCCGUAAGCUACGCCACCAGGCCGUAGCUUACGGCCCCCAUCUCAUGCCAAAAGGAGCCGCCGUAGACAUAUUGAGCUUGGAAAACAUCAUCUUUUUAUCUUAUCUCUAUCUAGUUUUUGUUGGUGAACUUGGUGAACUUGGUAAACAAUAUUUGUUUCUACAUUUUUCAUGAUGAUGUUUGUUAAAGCCAUGUGUGGCUAAAAACUUUAUGGUCAUCCUAGGUGGAAGGUUUGUGAAACUAUUGUGCUUAUUUUAUAUUUCUA
This 890-nucleotide long non-coding RNA is filed under the name Helianthus annuus (common sunflower). The record is from RNAcentral. Lineage: Eukaryota; Viridiplantae; Streptophyta; Magnoliopsida; Asterales; Asteraceae.